AAGAGAGUCCGGAAGAAGAACAAGCAUCCAGGAGAGGGGAGAGGAGGGGAGGGAGGCCGCAAACAUCUGCCCCCAGAGAUGGGGAGCCCUGCCCUGGUCUCAGAUGCUCAGAAACUGGAUCUUACUCGGGCUUGGAAGGUCUGAAAUGAUACUUCAUCCUUUGGUUUUUUCAUUUCAAUUGAUACAAGACCAGGGUAAGAUGCUACCCCAUGGACGUUUAUCUCUAGAAAAUGUGAUUGCUUCCAACGAAAUGACUAUCCCAAACUCUCUGCCCCUGGACAUACGUUGCCAAACUGAAAUUUGAAUUUUCUGAAUAAAUUGGUGAUGUCUGGAA
This is a non-coding RNA of Puma concolor (puma), 334 nucleotides long. Lineage: Eukaryota; Metazoa; Chordata; Mammalia; Carnivora; Felidae. The record is from RefSeq and is a predicted model, not a curated record.